RNAcentral lists this unclassified non-coding RNA (242 nucleotides) under Glomus sp. RNAcentral describes it as "partial contains 5.8S ribosomal RNA and internal transcribed spacer 2". The stretch from base 1 to 65 matches the Rfam family "5.8S ribosomal RNA", at positions 84 to 154 of the family's 154-position model. The record is from RNAcentral. Lineage: Eukaryota; Fungi; Glomeromycota; Glomeromycetes; Glomerales; Glomeraceae.
GUGAAUCAUCGAAUUUUUGAACGCAAAUUGCACUCUCCUCGGAGAGUAUGCCUGUUUGAGGGUCAGCCUAUAAAAAAUCGACAGCGUAGCGGUUUCGCGGUGGAGGGCGUCGGAAAUUGGGUCAACUUAAAUCUGUUGGUUUUAAGCGACUUAAAAUUUUCUUUUUGGUUCCAUGAACGGUUCUAAGAUUUAUGUCUUUACACGGUUAAGGUAUCGAUUGUUAUUAGACGGGAUCAUCAUAG